AUGGUGAGUAGGUGUGGGUUUGGCCUUUCCUCCGACCACCCACUGCAGCGGUGGUGGUUAUUUUCGAUAAGCAUCGUGAUGCACAGCCUGCCGCCUCCAAGGUACGCAAGCUCGGUUCUGUUGUAUAACUUGAGAUAUCCACGGGGCCACGCCCGCGGCCGGGUAGAUGGGCAUAUCUCGUCCAGGCUCCAGCACUUGAUGAUCGCCGGCGGCCUGGCAUCCAUGUCGCAGGCGGCCAGUCGGUCAUAUUCAUCCUCGCAGCCGCGCAACUUGCCGAAGAGCAGCUUCCUGCCGCCUAGAAUGCCAUCAGAGACCAGGAUCAAGCGGCCCGCGAGGGGCAGCUCCGAGGCGCCUUCCAUGCGCCACCGGCGGCGCGCCGCGUCAAAGGAGAAAGUUCCUUGGUCCUUGAAGGAGACCCAGACGUGCGCCCCCGCCGCGUCGGCGAAGAAGCCAGUGAUGUCUGGUUUGCCAGAGAGGCCCGGCGGGUCCGGGAUGAGAUGCCAGGCCCAGGGGCCGUUGGGGAGGCGGAGCAGGAGCUCGAAGCAGGGAUCUUGUUCUCCUGUCCGGUCCGGGUCCGAAUCAAUCUCCGCCUGCGGGCAGAGGGGCAUGGAUAAGAACAUGUCGUCUCCGGCGGGAGCAAGUGCCUGGAACAGCUUAGUGAACAGCUGGUCGGGGCCGGCUGAGGCGUCCGUGUUGCCGCGGUUGCAGAUCAGAGUACGUCCCUGGGUGGUGGCCGUUACAACGAGGUUGCCGGAGGAUGCGAUGGCCAUAACCUCGCCGCGGCAGAGAAGCCUGAAGCGAACGACAGGCUUGGGGAAGCUCAGCACCGGCGGGAACUCGUCGUCAUCACUGGGUUGGCCGGAGAAGAUAUGCUGGAGAUCUAGCUCGUACAAGAGGGUAGCCAGCUCUUUGGGGCCGUGGACCAUCACCAAGGCUACAGAGCUGUCUUGGCGGGGCUGCUGCGCGGCGGCCAUUGAUCAACCUGAUCGAUUGGCAAGGUACGCGCACGUAGGAAGCUGGAUCAAACCAGGCUGCUUAUAUUACCUAGUAGCUAUAAACUAG
This 1062-nucleotide ribosomal RNA is filed under the name Triticum aestivum (bread wheat). Its description in RNAcentral is "partial small subunit ribosomal RNA". The record is from RNAcentral. Lineage: Eukaryota; Viridiplantae; Streptophyta; Magnoliopsida; Poales; Poaceae.